RNAcentral lists this long non-coding RNA (661 nucleotides) under Bos taurus (domestic cattle). Its description in RNAcentral is "long non-coding RNA NONBTAT014846". The record is from RNAcentral. Lineage: Eukaryota; Metazoa; Chordata; Mammalia; Artiodactyla; Bovidae.
GUGAGAAGGGUGUAUAGAAGUUUCUGUAAGAAAAUACAAUUCAUGAAGGGAAUUAUGUAAAAUAGGACUUUUGUAGGCAAUGGAUUAGUCUGUGAAGGUCAGAGGUCAACCGUGGAAACCCAGGUUAUGUUUUCUAAGUGAGGGGAUGAUGUAGGAUAAUCAUAUGGUAAUCAAACUCAAGAUUUUGCCCAAGUAAGUGAGGUGGAAUUAAGACUUCUAAAGACUAUUAAGACUUCUAAAUAACAAUACAUGAUUUAUUAUCUUGCCUGUAAACCCAGUGGCUCAAACUGUGGGCUGGAUAAUCCCCUUGCGAAGCCCAUCCCCCUGACCUCUGACCCUGAUGUCCUGACUCUACCUCCAAAUUCCACAAUAGAGUCUUUGGCAACACAGGAACCUGUGAACAAUGACCUCAGAGAUGUCUUUCUCACCCCCCAAACACCCCUCUUUCCAGUCAUCUCAAGAAUAGGGACAUCAACGAUGCUCUUGAAAAUCACAGAAACCAGGAACAAAACAACUUAUGUGUCAAAUUCUGCAUGACUCACAUCAAGAAGAAAUGAGUAUUUAUCUCCCAUUGCUCCUUUCUUGACACAUGACAUAAAAUGGGAAAGUUCAUGGCUCUAUCUUCUCCUAAUUUUUCCCUUUAAAAUAGUUUCAAUUUUCU